GUGGCAUGGCGGCAGCUAUAAUGCAGUCGAGCGGACAGAUGGGAGCUUGCUCCCUGAUGUUAGCGGCGGACGGGUGUAACACGUAAUAACCUGCCUGUAAGACUGGGAUAACUCCGGGAAACCGGGGCUAAUACCGGAUGGUUGUUUGAACCGCAUGGUUCAAACAUAAAAGGUGGCUUCGGCUACCACUUACAGAUGGACCCGCGGCGCAUUAGCUAGUUGGUGAGGUAACGGCUCACCAAGGCGACGAUGCGUAGCCGACCUGAGAGGGUGAUCGGCCACACUGGGACUGAGACACGGCCCAGACUCCUACGGGAGGCACCGGUAGGGAAUCUCGCAAUGGACGAAAGUCUGACGGAGCAACGCCGCGUGAGUGAUGAAGGUUUUCGGAUCGUAAAGCUCUGUUGUUAGGGAAGAACAAGUACCGUUCGAAUAGGGCGGUACCUUGACGGUACCUAACCAGAAAGCCACGGCUAACUACGUGCCAGCAGCCGCGGUAAUACGUAGGUGGCAAGCGUUGUCCGGAAUUAUUGGGCGUAAAGGGCUCGCAGGCGGUUUCUUAAGUCUGAUGUGAAAGCCCCCGGCUCAACCGGGGAGGGUCAUUGGAAACUGGGGAACUUGAGUGCAGAAGAGGAGAGUGGAAUUCCACGUGUAGCGGUGAAAUGCGUAGAGAUGUGGAGGAACACCAGUGGCGAAGAAUACUCUCUGGUCUGUAACUGACGCUGAGGAGCGAAAGCGUGGGGAGCGAACAGGAUUAGAUACCCUGGUAGUCCACGCCGUUCAAGAUGAGUGCUAAGUGUUAGGGGGUUUCCGCCCCUUAGUGCUGCAGCUAACGCAUUAAGCACUCCGCCUGGGGAGUACGGUCGCAAGACUGAAACUCAAAGGAAUUGACGGGGGCCCGCACAAGCGGUGGAGCAUGUGGUUUAAUUCGAAGCAACGCGAAGAACCUUACCAGGUCUUGACAUCCUCUGACAAUCCUAGAGAUAGGGACGUCCCCUUUCGGGGGCAGAGUGACAGGU
Molecule: ribosomal RNA, 1019 nt
Filed under: Bacillus sp. (in: firmicutes)
Lineage: Bacteria; Bacillati; Bacillota; Bacilli; Caryophanales; Bacillaceae
Description: bacterial SSU rRNA
Rfam family: Bacterial small subunit ribosomal RNA
Source: RNAcentral